UAUUCUUAAAAGUAAACUUCAAAUACCACCCCUUUAGUUUAGCAUUUUCUCACUUUAAUACCCUAUGGUUUAAAGUGUAUCAAUUUAGUAUCUAGUGGCGUUAUUUUUCUCUUUUUGUUAGCUUCUCUGUUAACAUUUUGUUAAAUUAUAUACAAAAAACUUCAGAUGCGCCACCUAGGUUUAUCGAAUAUUUACUUUAGUACGUUUCAGUUUUAACUUUGUCAUUGAUUUAAUAAAAAAAUUAGUGGAGGGGAUAAUACAAAAGAAAAAAUAAAACCACGGGGCACUUAAUUGAUACACUUUAAACCAUAGGGUACUAAAAUAAAAAAGUGCAAAACCACAGGGGUGGUAUUUGAAGUUUUUCCUCUUUUAAUAAUGUGUCGUGAACAAAAAGAAUCUGUUCACAUGGUGAUUUAAUUUUUCAUACAAUAUUAAUUUAUUAUAAAUUUAUUUAUCUUAUAUCUGUGGUCAAAUAAGAAAAAAUAAAAUUUGAAUUAUGAUUGCAAUGUAAUGUUUAAUUUAUUGCAUCUAUACUCUUAUUUUGAUCAAACAUAAUAUGAAAAUUAAAUAAUCAUAAUUUUUUUAAAAUUAUUUAAGGUUUGGCGCUAAGUUGAAUUAAUUUAUUAUUUUAACUGGUUAGGUGUAAGUCAAAGCGGUCCUAACUAAAAGAAAUAAUAACUUAAUUUACUUUAAAGUAGCUUUGCCGGAUAAUUUUCAAGUUAAUUAUGUAGCACUAAGUUAGAUUAAUUUAUUGUUUCUGCUGUUUGGGUGCAAGCCAAAGUCGCCUCGAUCAGAAAAAAAAAGGUAAUUAAUUGCUUCAAAGAAGUGCACGUAGAAAUUGCACUACAGUAUUAUGUUUAGUCUUCUUCUCCCAAAAGAGGUCUAGAUAUGAAGGUACACGGGUGGUGUAGGAUGGUUAUUUUCUUGUAACUCAUUUGGAGAAAUUUGCUUUGCCAAAGCUGACAAUUUUUUCUAUGAAAAAUUUGAAAUUAACACGACCUACAGAAAGUUUAAAUUAAUCUCUGAUAAAAAGAUUGUGUAUUUAUACUAAUAAUUGCUCCCAAAGGAGGGGUUAUGAUGUCAUAUAAAGCAUGUGCAUAAUAAAAGAAAAAUAUUUAUACUCAUAAUUCUGCUCCCAAAGGAGAGAUGUCGCGAUAUUAUAUAAGGUGUAUUUUUCUAAUUUUAGUAUGGUAAUUCUUGGAUGUGGUAUUUUAUUGAUAAAACAUGCAUUUUAUGUUUUAGCUAUGACUUUAUUCUUUGUUCCUAUCAGUGAUUCUAUUCUUAUAUUUAAUGGUUCUAAUUAUUCAUAGUAGAAAUAACAGAUCAUGCUUACAUUACGGUGCAUGGAUUUCGAUUUGGCUAUAAGAGAGGAUAAACUUGCUCCUCUUACAAAUAAAAGUAGUCCAAUCCAAACAAUAUUUUUAGAAAAGUGGGAACGCUCUAAUCAGCUUUGUUUAAUGCUGACGAAAGCGCGUGUUUGGAAUUCAAUU
RNAcentral lists this long non-coding RNA (1490 nucleotides) under Ananas comosus (pineapple). Its description in RNAcentral is "long non-coding RNA (ACOM_LNC009071)". The record is from RNAcentral. Lineage: Eukaryota; Viridiplantae; Streptophyta; Magnoliopsida; Poales; Bromeliaceae.